CCAGGGCUUCGUUUCCAACUUUCCAUGGCGCGGGCGAAACGACGAACAGUCACAAGAUCUCCGUCUAUCCGAUCUAGUGAUAACCAGUAAGGGCCUCUCAGUCUAAAUUUACUGAUCUUAUUCUCAAUUGUUAGUACUCUGACGGACUUGUGAUGCAUUUUUCAUUUUUCAUCACCGUGUACUAAUUAUUCUGUAUAGAGUACUUGUCAUCCUAAAUGUACUAAUCGGUAUACUCGUAAAAUAGCUAUUGUCUACUUGUAAAUUAGUACUAAACUAAUGAUCAGUUCAUGAGAAUCAUGACUAGUCACCGUGGCUGGCUCCCUGUAGCCCUUUUUGCCGGCCAAGGAAAUUAGUACUAAACUACUGCUGUGGCCUGUGGCUGUACUUGUCAUCCUAAAUGUAAUAAUUUAUUAUGUGUCAUGUAUAGAUCAAUGGCUUCCAGAUGGAGCAGAAGGCUCGGCUGUGGCUGCUGCCAGCAAUGGAAAUUCGGCUCUUUCAGCAUCUCUGCAUGGUACUCCAACACCUGAAGUUGUUCCGACACUUGCAAAUAACUUGCCAUUUGCGCUUUAAUGUUGGUUCUUUCUUCAUCAGAUGGUUGGAAUUCUACUCUCUUUGCUACAUUUCAGAAUGUUCUUGAUGAUGAAGAAGAAGAGAUGGUAAAUUACUAAAAUGCUAUGAUCUUAAAUUUUAGGAUAUUGCAACAUCAUAAUUUACUCAUAUUUUUCUCAUUUGGUUGAUGCGAAGGAUAAGUCUACUUCAAUCAUCAUUCAGGAGUGAAGAUGCAGUUGAUGUUUGUGUUGGAUGGUGGCUUCUACCUAUUUUAUGCGAUGGCUGCUAGCUUCUGCUUGUGUUGGGUGAUGGCUGAUAGUUGUUGGAUGGUGGCAUGGUGCCAACUAUUGUAUCAAUUUUUAUUUUGUUACAUGACUUGUACUCAGUUGAGUUAUUUGCCAACUAGCUUAUGUUUGUAUCGGAUGAUGGCUGUGUUGCGUAACGUAGCAUAAAUUUAAAAAAAUUCCUACGCAUAUUCAGAUCUUUCUAUGAAGAGACCAGUAACGAGAGAGGGGUGAGUGCAUC
This 1074-nucleotide long non-coding RNA is filed under the name Hordeum vulgare. Its description in RNAcentral is "long non-coding RNA (HVUL_LNC013210)". The record is from RNAcentral. Lineage: Eukaryota; Viridiplantae; Streptophyta; Magnoliopsida; Poales; Poaceae.